RNAcentral lists this ribosomal RNA (494 nucleotides) under uncultured bacterium. RNAcentral describes it as "bacterial SSU rRNA". It matches the Rfam family "Bacterial small subunit ribosomal RNA", at positions 29 to 511 of the family's 1533-position model. The record is from RNAcentral.
AGUGAACGCUGGCGGCAGGCCUAAUACAUGCAAGUCGAACGGCAGCACAGCAGAGCUUGCUCUGUGGGUGGCGAGUGGCGGACGGGUGAGGAAUACAUGGGAAUCUGCCCAGUCGUGGGGGAUAACGUAUGGAAACGUACGCUAAUACCGCAUGCGCCCUACGGGGGAAAGCCGGGGACCUUCAGGCCUGGCGCGAUUGGAUGAGCCCAUGUUCGAUUAGCUAGUUGGCGGGGUAAAGGCCCACCAAGGCGACGAUCGAUAGCUGGUCUGAGAGGAUGAUCAGCCACGCUGGAACUGAGACACGGUCCAGACUCCUACGGGAGGCAGCAGUAGGGAAUAUUGGACAAUGGGCGCAAGCCUGAUCCAGCCAUGCCGCGUGAGUGAAGAAGGCCCUCGGGUUGUAAAGCUCUUUUGUCCGGAAAGAAAAGCAAUCGGUUAAUACCCGGUUGUUCUGACGGUACCGGAAGAAUAAGCACCGGCUAACUUCGUGCCAG